This is a long non-coding RNA of Drosophila gunungcola (fruit fly), 584 nucleotides long. RefSeq lists it as uncharacterized. The record is from RefSeq and is a predicted model, not a curated record. Lineage: Eukaryota; Metazoa; Arthropoda; Insecta; Diptera; Drosophilidae. The transcript is spliced from 2 exons.
CAACAGUGACUACAGUUGACAACUCGGAGAGUUAAGAUAGCACAGAAUGCCGCCAGGUUGGCUGAUGAGGGGCAAGUCAAGGUGUAUUGAAGUAUUGCCCGAGGCUCCAGCCGUAUUUGUGUGGGACGAUCUCCAAAGUUUGCCAAAUCGCAGGCCGCAGAAAGAGAUGGCAAAGCCGCACGACAGAGAUGGAUGCAGAUGCCGCUUUUGUGGCCCGAAAACGAAAGACAGUUCGACAGUUCAUACCAAUUGACUCGUUUGCCAACACGCGUCUCCAGAAACAGCAACCACUAUCGCAGGGAACAUCCAACAUCCACAGCCAGGGAUGUGACUCCGAAAAAUUGAACCUCAGCUGUAUGUGGUGCAAGACGUCUUUUGGGCGCUGCUGGCCACAAUGUCAAAAAUGUCGCCGGUUUGGUAGUCUGUCAGUCGAUCAGUCCGUCAGUCAGUCACCUCUGAGCAAUAUUGAAGGAAAAUACACACAGGCGUACUCUAACGAACGCAGACACUUGCAAUUUUGUUGCCGUUUUUGUUGUUGGCUUUUUUGCGCGCAUCUAAAAAUAAAGCAACACUGAAAAUGCUAA